This 428-nucleotide long non-coding RNA is filed under the name Manihot esculenta (cassava). Its description in RNAcentral is "long non-coding RNA (MESC_LNC006623)". The record is from RNAcentral. Lineage: Eukaryota; Viridiplantae; Streptophyta; Magnoliopsida; Malpighiales; Euphorbiaceae.
AGCAAACCAUCAGACAACUAAACCCACAUUUUCAAAAUAGAACACAAAAAAUUAAAAUCUUACUAGCUUCAAUCGUCUGAGGAGCAUCAAUGAGUUGAGUUAUGGUCCAUACAUUGAGAGAAGAAAUAGAAAGUGAGAAAGGGAAUGAGAAAAGAAAUGCGCAGUAAUGAAAAAACUCAUAUUCAAGACAAGAAAUGGGUAAAAAUCUAUGGAAUAAGAGAGAAAGGAAAAAACUGGAGAGAGAGAGAGGGAAAGCCAGAAUCAAGAGAGGGGAAAAGCGAGAUUUGAGAGCCAGAAUCUGGAGAGGGGAAAGCGAGAUUUGAGAGCGAAAGGGUUGUAGAGAAUCUGGGAAGAGGGAUGGAGAGAAUGGGAUCGGGGGGAGAUAGAGGGAUGGUAAGAGAGGGAUUUUCUUUUUAAUUCAAUUAUUU